AACGAACGCUGGCGGCAUGCCUAACACAUGCAAGUCGAACGAAGGCUUCGGCCUUAGUGGCGCACGGGUGCGUAACGCGUGGGAAUCUGCCCUUUGGUUCGGAAUAGCAGCUGGAAACGGCUGCUAAUACCGGAUGAUGACGAAAGUCCAAAGAUUUAUCGCCAGAGGAUGAGCCCGCGUUGGAUUAGGUAGUUGGUGGGGUAAAGGCCUACCAAGCCGACGAUCCAUAGCUGGUCUGAGAGGAUGAUCAGCCACACUGGGACUGAGACACGGCCCAGACUCCUACGGGAGGCAGCAGUGGGGAAUAUUGGACGAUGGGCGCAAGCCUGAUCCAGCAAUGCCGCGUGAGUGAUGAAGGCCCUAGGGUUGUAAAGCUCUUUUACCCGGGAAGAUAAUGACUGUACCGGGAGAAUAAGCCCCGGCUAACUCCGUG
Molecule: ribosomal RNA, 433 nt
Filed under: uncultured bacterium
Lineage: Bacteria
Description: partial 16S ribosomal RNA
Rfam family: Bacterial small subunit ribosomal RNA
Source: RNAcentral